Carassius auratus (goldfish) is the source of this 1749-nucleotide long non-coding RNA. NCBI's taxonomy places the organism in Eukaryota, Metazoa, Chordata, Actinopteri, Cypriniformes, Cyprinidae. The record is from Ensembl.
AUGGAAGAAAGGGAACAGAUCUCAGAUUUUUCUGAUGUAGCUUUCAUACAGCGAAGGGAUCCGGUGGCAAAUUUGAUAGAUACUUUUAGCAAAUUGUACUUCGAUUCUGAGGAAGAAAAGGAAGGUAGAGUUGAGCCAUCAGACUAUAGAGUGAAACAGGAUGAUUUACCCUUACCCUUACCUCCUCCGCCUCAUGAUUUUCAAGAAGAGGAAUUACAAUUCGGCAGUGAUGAAAAAGUGCAACGAAUGAGUUGUAUUGAAGAGCACCUUGUGGAUCUGGAACACAGAAUCAGUGACUUUGUUACCUCAGAGGCUUUGAGUAUGAAACUAAAAGCUUAUGAAGACAGAAUGAAUUAUCAUCUUCAAAGAGAGAUAGAUCGAGUUCACCAACAGUGCUAUGCCAAAAUUGAUCAUCUAGCAAAGAGCAUGGUGGAUUGUUUGAAACGACGUGAUAAACAGCUGGAGAAGCAGUUCAAGGAUAUCCAACCGGUCACAUCAACUCCUGUUUAUUUCAGUCUUAAGGGAACCGCUAAGAGCUGGUGGAGAGCGGAGAAACAGUAUAUUCGAGAUUGGGAUUCAUUCAAAGAAAAAUUCCUGUUCUCAUUUUUGAAUGAAGACCACAAGGAAGUUGCUGCACAGAAAUUGGCAAAUUACCGACAGAGGGUCAACGAAUCGGUGAGAGACUUUGCUUUCAACUAUAGAGCGAUGGCACUAAAAAUUAACCCUUUGUUGCUUGAAGCCGAAUUAGUGCAGGCAACAUUAAGAAGCUGCAAUCCGUGGUUGGCGUCACUGUUGAGAGGAACGGUGAAAACCAUUGAUGAGCUGGUUCGUCUCUGUACCCAAAUAGAGAGGGACUGGACUGAGAAUAAGAGAAGGUGGAAUCAAGAGAAAAGUGAAGAACAGAAGAAGAGCUCUACUGGUGAGAAAAGUCAGUCUAAUCGCGUGAUGCUGAUUGAUCCUGCUGUUGGCUUUCAGUGUGAUAAUGUACUGCAAGCACCCUUGAUUUUAAAUCACUCAUUCUUCAAUGCUGUCAUUGAUACGGGAAGCACUUUUUCUUUAAUGCAGCAGAAAGUAUGGCAGAGACUAAAGAGAAAGGAUGAGCUCUUGACCAGAAGUGAUCAGACAUUCAUGCUUGCUAAUGGCCAGAGUCAAAAAACCCAAGGUAAAAUACUCUGGGAAUGUGAGAUGUACGGAUCAAAACAUGAGGUCACAUUCUAUGUGAUGAAGGAUGAGGAUUUGGCAGUACCUAUCAUCUUAGGUUUGAAUUUCCUUAAAGAAGCCAAGGUCACCAUCGAUUUUAAUACUUCACGUAUAUCUCUGCCUGAUACUAACUCUAGUCAUCCCAGUUUUAAUGAGACGAUCAAGCACCCUGCUGUACGAUUUUAUGCUGCCCAAGGAGAAGUUGAGUUGAUGUGCAAUGAGAAGUUGAAGUUAAUCGACCAGGUCGUGGAAAACUCUCAUGCUGCAUUCAAGGUAAAGAGUCAAUUGAAAGCUCUCCUGUAUGAUUGGCCUCCGGUAUGCACCACAAAUCUAGGACGUACAAGCCUGAUCAAGCAUGAGAUUAAAACUAUUGACGAACUUCCUAUAAGAAAGAGACCAUACAGAGUCUCGAAAGUCAAGAAUGAUUUUAUUGAAGAGCAAAUUAAGGAGUUACUUCAAUUAAAAUUGAUCAAACCUUCUACUUCUCCAUGGGCCUCCCCGGUGGUAGUCGUAGAUAAAAAAAGAUCUAGGGAUAAAAAAGGGAUCUAG